This 253-nucleotide ribosomal RNA is filed under the name uncultured bacterium. Its description in RNAcentral is "partial 16S ribosomal RNA". It matches the Rfam family "Bacterial small subunit ribosomal RNA", at positions 524 to 776 of the family's 1533-position model. The record is from RNAcentral.
CACGUAGGGCGCAAGCGUUGUCCGGAAUUAUUGGGCGUAAAGAGCUCGUAGGCGGUCUGUUGCGUCUGCUGUGAAAACCCGGGGCUUAACCCCUGGCUUGCAGUGGAUACGGACAGACUAGAGGUAGGUAGGGGAGAAUGGAAUUCCCGGUGUAGCGGUGAAAUGCGCAGAUAUCGGGAGGAACACCGGUGGCGAAGGCGGGUCUCUGGGCCGAAAUUGACGCUGAGGAGCGAAAGCGUGGGGAGCAAACAGG